GAAAAAGACUUGUCCCAAUUGGCCAGACAAAAGGACUGAGCUGGAAAGGAUGUGCAGCAGGUUAGGGUGGUAAAAGAUACACAUGGUAAUGUGCUGACAAGUGAAGAGAGUAUGUUGAGAAGGUGGAAGGAAAAUUUUGAGGAGCUAAUGAAUGGAGAAAA
Long non-coding RNA from Thalassophryne amazonica, 161 nucleotides. RefSeq lists it as uncharacterized. Lineage: Eukaryota; Metazoa; Chordata; Actinopteri; Batrachoidiformes; Batrachoididae. The record is from RefSeq and is a predicted model, not a curated record. The transcript is spliced from 2 exons.